AAAAAAUGGUUUUCCGGCACUGUUCGUUUUACACAUAUAUGUUUUGUUAAAACAACACAAAUAUAUUUAGUUUUCCGACAAAACACAAUUGUAUUGUGUUUAAUCAACUUAAAAUGUUUAAUUUUAAAUUUUACUUAAUUAUCAAUCGUUAAAGUAACGUAAAGGGUUUAAUUUCGUGAUUCAAAAAAAACCGGAAGUGACGAUUUCCAACGCAUUUGAUGACGGUGUGGAGGGGAGCAAGAGGUAUCAGUCAGGUUUGUGCAGAAUUUGAGACAUCCAGAAUUACCAUAGGCCCAUUAGAAUCAACAAUCUUUGCCAAACUUGAUUCGGACUGCAAAAUUUACGAAGAUGUUUUCAUACUGAAGAAGAGACCUUGGACAAAUACUGAAACCCUCUUGGUGCCCACUACACAGGCAGGGGUGUCCAGACCUGCUCUAGGAAAGCCAGUGUUCUGUGGGGUUCAGCUCUAACACACCUGCCUGGAACUUCAGACUAAUGAAAUUGAAGUAUCCAAAUGAAGACCCUAGCAGUAUGGAGUAUAUGGUGAGUUCAAGGUUAAUAAAUUAUUUGUUAAAGUUAAUACACAAUAAUUUGAGUUCUCCAUGCUUUUAAAUACUUCUAGGAUACAGACGUUGCCAGCAGUCAGGAGGUGAUCCAGAAGACUCCUGGGAAUCUAUUUGAAGCUGCAUCAUUGAAGACAGUCCAGCAGAAGUUGGAGUUUUAAAGGAUACAGUUCUUCAGGACCUAUAGCAGUUUACAGUCUGCAAAACCAUGUUGCUGGGACUGAUUUAUGGACUGAACUUGAGCAACCCUCCUGAAUUCAGGUACACAUUUGGAAUACUGAAGAAGUUAUUUCUGGAGCCAGUUUCUGUUCCUGGAAUAAGGUUUGAUUGGUUACCCAUGAAUGCCAAUUAGAAUUGUAUUUGCUAUUUUGUGUAAUUUUGUAAUGUGGUUUAAACUGUAUUUUACUGUGUGUAAUUAUUUAUUGCUUGUUUAACAAAUACACUUUGAUCAUUUGUGA
Carassius auratus (goldfish) is the source of this 1021-nucleotide long non-coding RNA. RefSeq lists it as uncharacterized. Lineage: Eukaryota; Metazoa; Chordata; Actinopteri; Cypriniformes; Cyprinidae. The transcript is spliced from 4 exons. The record is from RefSeq and is a predicted model, not a curated record.